UGCUCUACUUUCACAUCAAUGGCGACUGAAGAGGCCUCGACUGCUUCCGCGGCCUCCGACGAAGUGGGACUACGAUGCCUCCCUCGUCUCCCGUGUCCGCGUCGUCGCUGGUGGCGUUGCUGCUGCUGCCGCUUGCGCUACCGCUGCCGCUGCCCUUGCCGUUUGAAGUCGACCCCCCAUUCGGCGUCUCGCCUCCCUCGCUCCAUCCCAAUUCCGCCAUCAUAUCCUGCAGCUGCGUUCGCUCAAAUCCACCGACGACGUGUUACCACCGCACGCAAAAGACGAAGCAGAGCUCCCAAGCGUAAACCUCGCUCACCUUGCAACUGAUGGAGCAGAACCUGAUUCCAGGGUCCUUCGUAGAGGGCGGGAAUAUGAAACAGCACGUCCUGCACGCGUGAUGUUCGAUGAUUUGUCCCGGUGCGCGAGGAUCUCUCCUCCUUUUGAUGUACACCACGCUGGCCCCGUUGUUGAUGAGCUUUUGGAUGUCCGAGGUGUCGAUGAGCCCGGCGAUGCUUUCUUCCAACACCGCCUCCUUGCGCGUGGCUUUGAACACCUUUUGGAAUGGAAGAAGCCAUCAUCAGAAUGCGAGGUCACGACGAAGGAUGGUUGGUUGGUUGGUUUGACUCACCUGGAUGAUGUGUUGGUGCUCGUGGUUGUGCGCUGGUCUGCACAGGGCGCAGAAGGGAGUCAUUCGGCAGUCGAAACAGUAGAAGUUGCAGGGUUUUUCAUGGAGUUUACAUUUUUCGUGAAACAAAUCAUGUGCGCUGAUGAAAUCCAGCAGCAUCUGAAGCUUCAUGUUUCCCAUGUCACCCAUCUGAAUCAGCUGGAGAGUUAGGGAAUACUGGUAAGAACUCAACUGAGGAAGAAGGAUGAAGCAGCUAAGUCAGUCUGCAAGCAGAACAGAAGCCUAAACAAAGGUGGUUUACCAUGGGUUUGUAGUGUUCUGCUCCGACUUAAGCUUCGAACCUUCGGGCUCACACGCUCAUCAGAUAUCACAGCAACUGCUGCUUGUGCUUAUGAUGCCAAAGAAGCAAACAACUCAUGGUUGAGGAUGAGAAGAAGAGAGGAGGACAAGGACAACAUGCAGGUAAUGAUCAAGAAGGACCAUGGCUUAGAAGAUCAUCAUAAUAUAUAUAUACUCCUAGUUCUCGAUUAAACAAAAUAAAAAAAAAAGAUCAUCAUGACUGAGCAAUCGAAUCGUAUAUAGAAACAGCACAGGAGCACUGCAAGAAUUAACCUUGGAUUGGAUUGAGAAGGAAGAAGACGAUGCGACGGCGAGAAGCAAUCGUUGAGCGGCGGAAGAAGCUAUUGGUUGAUGGCUCGAUAGCUUCAGAAAACUACAGUUCUUCGUCCACGUUUCAUGUUGUAUUUAUAGGCUCAAAUCUUCGGAAUCGUGUACGAUGCCAAGUCGGAGUCCGUUUCAAACUCGUGUCUUCGUUCUGGAGUUUUGAAU
Molecule: long non-coding RNA, 1453 nt
Organism: Musa acuminata AAA Group (dessert banana)
Lineage: Eukaryota; Viridiplantae; Streptophyta; Magnoliopsida; Zingiberales; Musaceae
Exons: 3
Source: RefSeq, a predicted model, not a curated record